GUUAAGCGACUAAGCGUACACGGUGGAUGCCCUGGCAGUCAGAGGCGAUGAAGGACGUGCUAAUCUGCGAUAAGCGUCGGUAAGGUGAUAUGAACCGUUAUAACCGGCGAUUUCCGAAUGGGGAAACCCAGUGUGUUUCGACACACUAUCAUUAACUGAAUCCAUAGGUUAAUGAGGCGAACCGGGGGAACUGAAACAUCUAAGUACCCCGAGGAAAAGAAAUCAACCGAGAUUCCCCCAGUAGCGGCGAGCGAACGGGGAGCAGCCCAGAGCCUGAAUCAGUGUGUGUGUUAGUGGAAGCGUCUGGAAAGGCGCGCGAUACAGGGUGACAGCCCCGUACACAAAAAUGCACAUGCUGUGAGCUCGAUGAGUAGGGCGGGACACGUGGUAUCCUGUCUGAAUAUGGGGGGACCAUCCUCCAAGGCUAAAUACUCCUGACUGACCGAUAGUGAACCAGUACCGUGAGGGAAAGGCGAAAAGAACCCCGGCGAGGGGAGUGAAAAAGAACCUGAAACCGUGUACGUACAAGCAGUGGGAGCACGCUUAGGCGUGUGACUGCGUACCUUUUGUAUAAUGGGUCAGCGACUUAUAUUCUGUAGCAAGGUUAACCGAAUAGGGGAGCCGAAGGGAAACCGAGUCUUAACUGGGCGUUAAGUUGCAGGGUAUAGACCCGAAACCCGGUGAUCUAGCCAUGGGCAGGUUGAAGGUUGGGUAACACUAACUGGAGGACCGAACCGACUAAUGUUGAAAAAUUAGCGGAUGACUUGUGGCUGGGGGUGAAAGGCCAAUCAAACCGGGAGAUAGCUGGUUCUCCCCGAAAGCUAUUUAGGUAGCGCCUCGUGAAUUCAUCUCCGGGGGUAGAGCACUGUUUCGGCAAGGGGGUCAUCCCGACUUACCAACCCGAUGCAAACUGCGAAUACCGGAGAAUGUUAUCACGGGAGACACACGGCGGGUGCUAACGUCCGUCGUGAAGAGGGAAACAACCCAGACCGCCAGCUAAGGUCCCAAAGUCAUGGUUAAGUGGGAAACGAUGUGGGAAGGCCCAGACAGCCAGGAUGUUGGCUUAGAAGCAGCCAUCAUUUAAAGAAAGCGUAAUAGCUCACUGGUCGAGUCGGCCUGCGCGGAAGAUGUAACGGGGCUAAACCAUGCACCGAAGCUGCGGCAGCGACACUAUGUGUUGUUGGGUAGGGGAGCGU
Molecule: ribosomal RNA, 1196 nt
Filed under: Escherichia coli
Lineage: Bacteria; Pseudomonadati; Pseudomonadota; Gammaproteobacteria; Enterobacterales; Enterobacteriaceae
Description: partial 23S ribosomal RNA
Rfam family: Bacterial large subunit ribosomal RNA
Source: RNAcentral